RNAcentral lists this ribosomal RNA (373 nucleotides) under uncultured organism. RNAcentral describes it as "bacterial SSU rRNA". It matches the Rfam family "Bacterial small subunit ribosomal RNA", at positions 526 to 896 of the family's 1533-position model. The record is from RNAcentral.
CGUAGGGUCCGAGCGUUGUCCGGAAUUACUGGGCGUAAAGAGCUCGUAGGUGGUUUGUCGCGUUGUUCGUGAAAACUCACAGCUCAACUGUGGGCGUGCGGGCGAUACGGGCAGACUGGAGUACUGCAGGGGAGACUGGAAUUCCUGGUGUAGCGGUGGAAUGCGCAGAUAUCAGGAGGAACACCGGUGGCGAAGGCGGGUCUCUGGGCAGUAACUGACGCUGAGGAGCGAAAGCGUGGGGAGCGAACAGGAUUAGAUACCCUGGUAGUCCACGCCGUAAACGGUGGGUACUAGGUGUGGGUUUCCUUCCUUGGGAUCCGUGCCGUAGCUAACGCAUUAAGUACCCCGCCUGGGGAGUACGGCCGCAAGGCUA